Molecule: ribosomal RNA, 1022 nt
Filed under: Salmonella enterica
Lineage: Bacteria; Pseudomonadati; Pseudomonadota; Gammaproteobacteria; Enterobacterales; Enterobacteriaceae
Also listed under: 1 other name
Description: partial 23S ribosomal RNA
Rfam family: Bacterial large subunit ribosomal RNA
Source: RNAcentral
ACUGUGUGUUGUUGGGUAGGGGAGCGUUCUGUAAGCCUGUGAAGGUGGCCUGUGAGGGUUGCUGGAGGUAUCAGAAGUGCGAAUGCUGACAUAAGUAACGAUAAAGCGGGUGAAAAGCCCGCUCGCCGGAAGACCAAGGGUUCCUGUCCAACGUUAAUCGGGGCAGGGUGAGUCGACCCCUAAGGCGAGGCCGAAAGGCGUAGUCGAUGGGAAACGGGUUAAUAUUCCCGUACUUGGUGUUACUGCGAAGGGGGGACGGAGAAGGCUAUGUUGGCCGGGCGACGGUUGUCCCGGUUUAAGCGUGUAGGUGUGUGUUCCAGGUAAAUCCGGUUCACUUUAACACUGAGGCGUGACGACGAGGCACUACGGUGCUGAAGCAACAAAUGCCCUGCUUCCAGGAAAAGCCUCUAAGCAUCAGGUAACAUCAAAUCGUACCCCAAACCGACACAGGUGGUCAGGUAGAGAAUACCAAGGCGCUUGAGAGAACUCGGGUGAAGGAACUAGGCAAAAUGGUGCCGUAACUUCGGGAGAAGGCACGCUGACAUGUAGGUGAAGUGAUUUACUCAUGGAGCUGAAGUCAGUCGAAGAUACCAGCUGGCUGCAACUGUUUAUUAAAAACACAGCACUGUGCAAACACGAAAGUGGACGUAUACGGUGUGACGCCUGCCCGGUGCCGGAAGGUUAAUUGAUGGGGUCAGCGCAAGCGAAGCUCCUGAUCGAAGCCCCGGUAAACGGCGGCCGUAACUAUAACGGUCCUAAGGUAGCGAAAUUCCUUGUCGGGUAAGUUCCGACCUGCACGAAUGGCGUAAUGAUGGCCAGGCUGUCUCCACCCGAGACUCAGUGAAAUUGAACUCGCUGUGAAGAUGCAGUGUACCCGCGGCAAGACGGAAAGACCCCGUGAACCUUUACUAUAGCUUGACACUGAACAUUGAGCCUUGAUGUGUAGGAUAGGUGGGAGGCUUUGAAGUGUGGACGCCAGUCUGCAUGGAGCCGACCUUGAAAUACCACCCUUUAAUGUUUGA